RNAcentral lists this unclassified non-coding RNA (279 nucleotides) under plant metagenome. RNAcentral's name for it is "partial contains small subunit ribosomal RNA, internal transcribed spacer 1, and 5.8S ribosomal RNA". The record is from RNAcentral.
UCUCCGUUGGUGAACCAGCGGAGGGAUCAUUACCGAACUUGCAAGACUCCUACAACCCUGUACACUUAACUUUUUGCCCGUUCCUUCGGCGGGUGUCUCGGAAGGGGUUAACGCUCCCCGAGACGCUCAAUCAGCUGGCGGCCUUCUAUACUCUGUCUCUUUACGUUCGCAUCUCGAGUAUAAUUAUACAAAUUAAAACUUUCAUUAACGGAUAUCUUGGAUCUCGCAUCGAUUCGGAACGCCACAGAUCGGAAAACCAGUCACUUACGACCAAGUCAC